UUGGAGGAGGGGCCAGUGGGAGGCCCAGCAGCAGUAGGGAGCGUUGUCGGUAACCGAAGGGGCUCUGGUGAAUUUCAGCCUGAAAAGUCAAACUGGAGCUCCGGCUUAGGGCAGGGACUUCCACUCCAGGGGACCCGGGCACCGACCAGAAUGAAGUCCUGCUGCGCCGGCCAGAGGCGAAAAUGGGAUGUGGACUGCAAACUGGAAGAAUUCGGCUGGACUCGGGUCCUCGAGGCCCCAGCUUUGGACCUGCAGCCUGAAACGAGCGCAUCCUUGAGUGGGAGUGAGCGUGUCCUCCCAGUUCCGAGAUGCGCGCCCGCAGCGCGGGAUUCCAAUGGCCAGAGCACGCAAAGGGAUGUGUCUGGCCCAAACCAACCACUUCCCCUUCCCGAGCCCACUAUGUCUCCCACACAGUGAAAAUGUUUUGUUGUUGUUGUUUUAAAGAAGAGAGUGAGAGAGAUAUUUAUGCACAUAUUUAUCCCUCUAAUUACAGGAAUUAAUCCUCUUAUGACUAAAAGGUAACAUGGAAGGACGUCCUUUUGAUGUGGAAAAGCACCAUUUGUGACUCACAUUCAGACUGAUUAAGGAAUAAUUGUUGUUAAACGCUUUGCAAGAGGAAAGUGUUUAAUUGAGGGGCAUUCGUAAUUUUACGGCUUAGUGCAAAAUUAAACGUAAUUAAAAACUCA
This is a long non-coding RNA of Mesocricetus auratus (golden hamster), 686 nucleotides long. RefSeq lists it as uncharacterized. The record is from RefSeq and is a predicted model, not a curated record. The transcript is spliced from 2 exons. NCBI's taxonomy places the organism in Eukaryota, Metazoa, Chordata, Mammalia, Rodentia, Cricetidae.